GCUGGGUGUGGUGGCGUGCACCUGUAAUCCCAGCUACUCGGGAGGCUGAGGCAGGAGAAUCGCUUGAACCCAGGAGGUGGAGGUUGUGGUGAGCCGAGAUUGCACACUGCACUCCAGCCUGGGCAACAGAGCGAGACUCUGUCUCAA
Unclassified non-coding RNA from Pongo abelii (Sumatran orangutan), 147 nucleotides. It matches the Rfam family "Metazoan signal recognition particle RNA". Rfam says of the family: The signal recognition particle (SRP) is a universally conserved ribonucleoprotein. It is involved in the co-translational targeting of proteins to membranes. NCBI's taxonomy places the organism in Eukaryota, Metazoa, Chordata, Mammalia, Primates, Hominidae. The record is from Ensembl.